AAAUCUAAGGUGGAGGUUGGGGAGAAAAGAGAUGAUGGUAUGGUGAGAUGUCUACUGAACUGCUCCUGCCAAGGCCCCUCCCCAUGUACUCUCAACAAAAGUUGCAGGCAGCCACCUCUCAACAACCCAUGAAGUGUCUGGAGCUCCACCCUCUGCUCAAGAGGAACGGCACAUGACCCAGGCCUAUGCCAAUCAGCAUUUCACAUUCCUCAUGAUUGGUUCAAAGGUUUACCAAGCUGUCUUCUGAUCUGUGGUUUAGCCCUUUGACUGCA
RNAcentral lists this long non-coding RNA (272 nucleotides) under Pan troglodytes (chimpanzee). RNAcentral's name for it is "long non-coding RNA NONPTRT016776". Lineage: Eukaryota; Metazoa; Chordata; Mammalia; Primates; Hominidae. The record is from RNAcentral.